AGUGCGUGUGCUGGGGCGAGCGGGAGCGGGCGAGGAUGGGCACAGGAUAGAGGCAGAGCCACCCACGCCGCCGCGGCCCCACGCUGGGCGACAGAGCCUCCAGUUCCCCUUCAAUGGUGGCGGGUCGCCGGAGCUCUGAUCGCCGGGAACCCUUGCCGCUGCUGUCCUGCGACCCCAAGCAGGUAUAGACACGUGUGGCCGUUUACGCUGUAGGAUCCUCAUUCCCACUGGCUUUGAACAUUUUGGGGACUUACAAUGCCGCCACCCGCGGACAUCGUCAAGGUGGCCAUAGAAUGGCCGGGCGCCUACCCCAAACUCAUGGAAAUUGAUCAGAAAAAACCACUGUCUGCAAUAAUAAAGGAAGUCUGUGAUGGGUGGUCUCUUGCCAACCAUGAAUAUUUUGCACUCCAGCAUGCCGAUAGUUCAAACUUCUAUAUCACAGAAAAGAACCGCAAUGAGAUAAAAAAUGGCACUAUCCUUCGAUUAACCACAUCUCCAGUAAGUUGAUCUUAGCUUCUGACUUCCAGCAAACUCUUUGCUCUGCGUUUCUGCUAUAUGUGAUUGUGGGAUAUUAAUUUUUGAGGUUGACUUUAGUGCAAAGCAAAAGGCUUCCAGAAUGUCCUGACAUGCAGAUUCUGGAUUAGCAGGAAUGCCCCUCCGUAGAUUUCCCACUGCAGAGGAGGAAGACCUUAUUCCAGGCGAAGGGCAAGCUUGUCUAACCUGCGGCCCAGGAUAGCUUUGAAUUCACAAAUUCGUAAACUUUCUCAAAACAUUAUGAGUUGUUCUGUAUUUUAUUUAGUUCAUCAGCUAUCGUUAGCGUAUUUUAUGUGUGGCCCAAGACAUUCUUCUUCUUCCUGUGGCCCAGGGAAGCCAAAAGAUUGGACACUUCUGCUUUAAGAUUUGAGUUUGGAGGUCAUCUUAACAACUUCUGUGUUACAGCUGGGAUCACUCACCUGUACCAAUUGGUUUUACCCACCUACUCACACAUCCACCUAAUGCCAUCUGAGCAAAUUCAGACAACAAACAAAGCAAACAAAACCAAAGUCAGUUACUUUCCUUUAAAGUCGGUUACUUUCCUUUAAAGUCAGUGUGGCUGGGCGCGGUGGCUCAUGCCUGUAAUCCCAGCACUUUGGGAGGCCGAGGCAGGUGGAUCAGGAGGUCAGGAGAUCAAGACCAUCUUGGCUAACACAGUGAAACCCUGUCUCUACUAAAAAUACAAAAAAUUAGCCGGGCGUGGUGGUGGACGCCUGUAGUCCCAGCUACUCGGGAGGCUAAGGCAGGAGAAUGGCGUGAAACCUAAUAGGUGGAGCUUGCAGUGAGCAGAGGUAGUGCCACUGCACUCCAGCCUGGGUGAGAGAGUGAGACUCCAUCUCAAAAAAAAAAAGAAAAAAAAGAAAAAGUCAGUGUGUGUGUGUGUGUGUGUGUCUGUGUGUGUGUGUGUGUGUGUGAGAGAGAGAGAGAGUUUAAGUAUUUUGUAGCUUUAAUGGGUUAUUAUGACAAUUCAUAAAAAUAAUUUAGAAAUAUUGACCACUUCACUGAUCCAUUGACAGCUGAUUCUACAUAAGAACUUUAGAGUCUUCUGAAUUAAAGCUGCUAAACAAGACGCUACAGUAUAUUUAGACUAUUGUAGCUGAUGAUGUCUCUCUUCUUGGUCUUUCCUACUUGCUUGGAGAUACUUUAGGUAGUAACAUUAGCAUAUUUAACUAUAUUAUUUUACAGUGCAUUUCAUUGCUUUCCUAAAAAAUUAUCUGCCCCAAAUACACCAAGUGUUACUAUUUUCACUCUGCAUAUGUGAUGAAAACUGUGUCUAACUAUCAUUUUCAGUUUCCACUGAAGCCAUGUGGUAGACUAAAAAUAAAUUUAAAAAUUGGGAAAAGCAUCUGGCUAAAAUUAAGCUGUGGGUACUGUAACUACCAUAAAUCCUUAUUGUUGAAAAUUACAUUAGUGUGGCUUAGAAACUCCUAAACAUUUUGCCCAAUAACAUCCUGAACCUAAAAACAGUGAUGAGCUCAAUGGAGUGAGUUGCUACAGUUGGCUGAACUGUCUUUGAUGCCUGCUUUGCUACUUAAUGGAGAUUAUAAUCUACUCAUUUUUCAGUGGCUACAUGAUGAGCUGAGGCGUUUUCGUCUGACUUUGCAUUGGUCUUCUUACUCAAGUCAGCAUGAAUGAAUGUUAAUUUGACCUUUACACCAUUGUUUUAUGUGUUUUUUGUAGUUUCUGAUUAUCCUGCUAAAAGUCAUCAUCUGCUUGCUGGACAGAAAAAGUAGACCUUGCCUUUUAUUUCAUUUUAGAGUCUAAAAGACAGCUUUUUAAUCAAAGCCUUCUCUAAGCCAAAGAAGGAGUUAGUUUCAUUUUUUUACUGCUGUGGAUUUAUGAACAAAAAUUCCGCAAUCUAAGUCACUCCUUGAGAGAAGGCUUAGAUGUUAGGCAGAGUGAAGUUUUUCAGCAUCCCAAAAGAAACUUAGCGUGACUUGUCAUCAGGAAGAAUGGAAUUUGUGUUCUUGAGAUAAUGAUCCUCACAUUCCCAGCUCAGUGAAUGGAAAGAUGUGAAAGCCAGUGUAAGAGGCACUAUUAAAAGAUGGGAGCAGCCGGGUGCAGUGGCUCACGCCUGUAAUCCCAGCACUUUGGGAGGCCGAGGCAGGCGGAUCACCAGGUCAGGAGAUCAAGACCAUCCUGGCUAACACGGUGUAAACCCCGUCUCUACUAAAAAUACAAAAAAAAUUAGCCAGGCGUGGUGGCAGGCGCCUGUAGUCCCAGCUACUCGGGAGGCUGACGCAGGAGAAUGGCGUGAACCCAGGAGGUGGAGCUUACAGUGAGCAGAGAUGACGCCACUGCACUCCAGCCUGGGCAACAGAGUGAGACUAUGUCUCUGUCUC
Molecule: long non-coding RNA, 2876 nt
Filed under: Homo sapiens (human)
Lineage: Eukaryota; Metazoa; Chordata; Mammalia; Primates; Hominidae
Description: non-protein coding lnc-SFRP4-2:1
Source: RNAcentral